Molecule: long non-coding RNA, 1376 nt
Filed under: Fukomys damarensis (Damara mole-rat)
Lineage: Eukaryota; Metazoa; Chordata; Mammalia; Rodentia; Bathyergidae
Description: lncRNA (ENSFDAG00000029973.1)
Source: RNAcentral
CAAGGACCCUUCUCAAAUGAAAGAUUUACAAUUUUGCACCAUAAACCUGGAACUAUCGAGACUCUGAGAAAGGGAUUUCUGUGUUUCCAGUUGUGUGCAGGUGAUACGUAUUAUGUGGAGUGGAAUUAUGAACUUGCUACUGUCUUUAUUUGGAGGGUAAGUAUGAUUUGAGGGGAUGUGUUUGGCUAGCCAGUUGACAAGGGAUGGGAUGUGGUAGUUACGGUAGAGUUUCAGAUCUAUUAGUUUUGGGAUUUCCCCGGGGAAUGUUGCAGCGCACUUCUAGGCACGUCUGGGUGGGCUAUAGAGGUGUGGCCUUGGGUGCUGUAUCUGGUCUCUGGCCCUUCUGCUCUGUUCUUUUCUUAUACUCUGCUUCCUGGCCACCAUGAGCCAAGCAAGCUUUGCUCUGCCCCGCCCUUCCACUGUGAUGUCAUUGCUUUGGAGCCAGCCAAACAAGGACUGGAAUCUCAAGCAAGUUAAUACUCAUUUAUGUUGUGGGUGUCGGGUAUUGUGAGCAGUGACAGGAAAGUGACAAAUAUACAGGGUUCUGACAGGAUCUAGCCUAGGUGUCACAUAUGCAUAAUAUUUUUGCAGUCCAGAGUUAUGUGUGACAGCUAUUGCCUUCUUCCUCCAAGACACAAUGGAGAGAAGUGUGAGGGUGCAUGUGAUGACCUCUGCCCCUGGGAGCUGGUGCUCAGGAGGGGGACGCCGGCUGGAGCAGCGCCAGCUGGAGGUGUGAUGUGUGACCCGGCAUACGGUGACACGAGGAGCUGCUCUGAGCAUCACAAGGUCCUCGGCUUCAUCUCUUUCCUGGUGACACUUAUCCUGCAGGUGGCCUCCUCCAGUUCUGGUGUAAAUUCUUGGGCCACUGACUUCACAACGUGUGUCUACCCCACGCCUGUCGCUUAACUCCAUUAUGUGCAUGCACUGUCCACAUACACACACAAGGAAUGUAAAUAUUACAUUCUGUAAAUGUGCACUAAUAAAAAAAAUCAGUAAGAAGAACAGGAACUCGAUAGAUGGGGCCGUUUAAUUUGGUUUGUUUUUGUCAGUCUUCUACUCCUUGCCACUCUACGCUGGGAGUGGGCAUGAAAUCAGUCAGACCAACACCUGCCCUCAAGACAUUUCCUACAAGGGAUUACAGUGGUCCUCUGGGUGCAGGUGACUGCAGAAGGACAAACCUCUGGCAGGAGGGGACCAAAGACACACAUGGUUCAGUCUGGAAGAGCAGGUUAUCAUAUUCAUUACCAUGGGUAAUCUAGGUGGCUGGAAGUAUGGGGCAGAAAUGGGUAGAUUCUACGUAACUCCUGUGCCACUGUAUAUAAGGGACUUGGACGUAACACCUGCAAUGGAAGAGACUAAAGGUUCUCUGGGAGAAG